Non-coding RNA from Saimiri boliviensis boliviensis (Bolivian squirrel monkey), 956 nucleotides. The record is from RefSeq and is a predicted model, not a curated record. NCBI's taxonomy places the organism in Eukaryota, Metazoa, Chordata, Mammalia, Primates, Cebidae.
CUGACAUCUCGAAGCAGGCGCGGCGGUGACGGGAAGGUGGACACGGGGCGGGCUGAGUGCUGGGCGCCCCGGCCCGUCCCGUCCCGUCCCGGGGAGGCUGUCGAAGGCCGCCCGCUCCGGAGCACGCUGGGCAGUGGCCCUGCUGGUCGCUGCUGUCCGGAACCUUCCCCCGGGACUGGAACUCGCCCUGUUCAGUGCUGCUUAGACUCAGACGCAAUCCCUCCCCACGACUCCAGCUCCGCUUAGGACAGAAUGUCUCCUCCGGGUCUCCUGGGGCCACAAGGUGCCACAGCCCCUGUCCCUCAGGGAGAGGAGCCCGCCCCUGCGGGAACUGAGGGAACGGGGUCGUGACAGCACAGCGAGCUCAGGGCUGGGGGGGACACCAGGCUCUCCAGGGCCCUGCCUGUGGAAGCUUCCAGAUCCUGGGUUUACGGGGAAACAGCCGCCAAGAGGGAGCACGUCAGACCCUACAAAGUGCAGCCCCCCGCUCGCCGCCCUGCGUCCUCCCCCGGCUUCGCUGCCGUAGGGAAGGGAUAAUUCCCGCUCUGCCAAGCUGUGGUGCAGAAAUGCCCACGGAGCCCUGCCACGUGUCAGGCCUUCCAGGUAGGCCCCGAAGACUCCGCCGCGAGCGGCCAGCCCCGCCCCGUGGGGACAGAGGCAGCGGGGACAGCUGCACACACUCACGACCGGACGCCAGAGGGACGUCGGGACACCGUGGACUGUGAGCUUAUCUUUGGACCCGAGGCCCAGCCAUCCCCCUGGGAAGCAGUAUGGGGAGCUAAGAAGCCUGAGAGGGGGUUCUGUGAGUACUGGGGGACACUCAGGCAUUUUCCACCACCCCUGGCCACGGGGAAGGUGAAGGGGUCCCUCACCUUGACCUCAGCCUGCUGAGAAGGCAUGAUGUGCUCCUCGCAGCUUGGGGGGCACAGGAGGUACCAAGACCCUAGGGAGGUGCU